UCACCUCAGCGAAGUCAGAGUCAGUUUGCACUUUGUGCGGUGCCGGACAACUGUCUUCACCAAGGAUGGCGUUGAGAGUAUUUUUAUCGCUAUGGCGACACGAGACGGUUUUUCAACUCAUCCUCUUCCUUACAAACUCGACGUUUCCAUCCGUCACCGACAUAACAACGCGGGAACAGAAUCUUCUGCAGAUACUACCUUGGCAAAAACCGUCGCAUUAAAGGGAAGAAGAGAAACUGACGUCCAUUUUUCGUCUGUCGUAAUCGGAAAUAGAGUAAAUAAACGUUAUGGAUAUUGUUUAUUUUCGUGUACAAACGUUGAAAUAGACCCCGAUAUGCGGCGGUCGGCCGAAGUCGUUGUAAAAUUCCCGCGCGUACAAACAGCUACAGGUGAAUCGUAUCGUUUGAGAUCGAGUGAAGUUGUUAGGAUCAAGCUCAGCACAGUAAGUUCCCUUGCUUCAGUGGUCAAGUUAUAAUUAUUCUUAAAGUUCACGUUUCUUCCUUGCAAGACUUACUAUAAAGUUCGUUGUUGUUGACCAAUAUUUUGCUUUUCACAUGGGUGGAAUUAAUCAGGGAUCUUUUGACGCAGCAUAGUUUCCUUUGACUUUAAAGUGUGCCGCUUCAAUGUUAUAUCGUAAUGCUACAAUGAUAAGCGUGUAAGUCUGUUAACACACUAGUCAUUUCGCUCUUGAACCGCUGGAUUAACAAGGAGCUGUCAUGCAGACACCGACAACGUAGCGGUCCCUUUACGUAAGACAAAUUUGCCUACAAUAAAUGCUUAGCACGUUCACCUGGUGUGAUCGUCCGAGUUAAGGCCUUGUCUCGAGCAAGCGAUUGCUGUCGGUGACCACCGACGGUGUUUUGUGGCUCGUAAACCAGAAAGUAGACUCACAUUUGAAGCGGGGCUUGUGCGCUUGCGGGAAGCAGCGGUGAAGAGCUUGAGGUUACUCGCUGUAGUGCUAAAGACUCCAAAGAUGGCGACUGCCACUCAGGCAACAGUCUCUGCUCGCGUUAAAUGUCCAAACGAUCACACCAGUCGAACUGAAUUCAUUACUCCUAACUCUAAAGCAUUUGCCCACCUUCUUUAUGUACGCACAUUUCACAGCAAACUUCACAAGCCACCCUGAGUACACCGAUGCAAAAUCUUACGUUGUUGACACGAGUAGCCGCUUUAAAACCCGUCAUUAUGAAUAAAAGCCUUUGCUUUGAAUUAA
Orbicella faveolata is the source of this 1213-nucleotide long non-coding RNA. NCBI's taxonomy places the organism in Eukaryota, Metazoa, Cnidaria, Anthozoa, Scleractinia, Merulinidae. The record is from RefSeq and is a predicted model, not a curated record.